Molecule: long non-coding RNA, 813 nt
Organism: Lycium barbarum (goji berry)
Lineage: Eukaryota; Viridiplantae; Streptophyta; Magnoliopsida; Solanales; Solanaceae
Exons: 2
Source: RefSeq, a predicted model, not a curated record
CACAUUAAUAAGCAGCAAGAUCUAAUCGGUUAAGAAAAAAAAAUCCUAGCAGCUAAGCCGUAUAAACAACCCUCUCAUUCACAUAUAGCAUAGAUAAUAUUCAUACACAUAAUAAUCCAGGGGAAUGAAGGGACGGGUAAGGUUAUCGUGAAAACCAGUUCUUAGUCGAGUUUCACCACCACAAAACCACGAAAAUAUCAGGCGAAAUAGCAGCUCUUUGGGUUUAUUCUUGGUCGAGGUGAGGUCGAGGGUCAAAGCUCCGGUCGCAGUCGAGGUCUCUGAUACAAAGGUAUUCUGAAGUUAGAAUGCUCGGAAAGUGAAAAAAUGAGGAAAAUAGGCAAUCUUUUCUGAUAAGCAUAAGGACGAACCAUCAACAUGCUCGACGGUCCGUCAAAUCGCCUCGUCAAUAAGUUCCUGCGAAGUAACAUAUCAUCACAGCAUCAUCAGAUCUUCGACGUGCACCGUCGACAUGAUCGACGGUCCGUCGAAGUGCUUCAACGAUGGAGUUCCUGUAGAGUGAAAAAGGCAUACUCAGAUCAUCGAUAUGGUCGUCGAUCAUGUCGACGACCGUCGAAGUACAAAGACGACCUGUCAAAAUGCAAACCGAGCUAGAACAGGAAUGGGAUUGAUUAUUCCGAGUUUGACUUAUAUAAAUACCUAUUUAGGUUUUAUUUUUCAGACAUAUGGAGUUUUAGACUUGUAGUAAUUACUUUUGAGUUGUUAUUGCUUUUGCAGAUUUCCAGACAAUUACAUUCAUUACUUUCAAGUUUUAUUCGUAAGUUCAAUACAAUAAUUCAAUUAUGCGAUCUUCAA